Molecule: ribosomal RNA, 561 nt
Filed under: Aster yellows phytoplasma
Lineage: Bacteria; Bacillati; Mycoplasmatota; Mollicutes; Acholeplasmatales; Acholeplasmataceae
Description: bacterial SSU rRNA
Rfam family: Bacterial small subunit ribosomal RNA
Source: RNAcentral
AGGAGACAAGAAGGCAUCUUCUUGUUUUUAAAAGACCUAGUAAUAGGUAUGCUUAGGGAGGAGCUUGCGUCACAUUAGUUAGUUGGUGGGGUAAAGGCCUACCAAGACUAUGAUGUGUAGCCGGGCUGAGAGGUUGAACGGCCACAUUGGGACUGAGACACGGCCCAAACUCCUACGGGAGGCAGCAGUAGGGAAUUUUCGGCAAUGGAGGAAACUCUGACCGAGCAACGCCGCGUGAACGAUGAAGUAUUUCGGUACGUAAAGUUCUUUUAUUAGGGAAGAAUAAAUGAUGGAAAAAUCAUUCUGACGGUACCUAAUGAAUAAGCCCCGGCUAACUAUGUGCCAGCAGCCGCGGUAAUACAUAGGGGGCAAGCGUUAUCCGGAAUUAUUGGGCGUAAAGGGUGCGUAGGGCGGUUAAAUAAGUUUAUGGUCUAAAGUGCAAUGCUCAACAUUGUGAUGCUAUAAAAACUGUUAGCUAGAGUAAGAUAGAGGCAAGUGGAAUUCCAUGUGUAGUGGUAAAUGCGUAAUUUUGGAGGACACAGUAGCGAAGGCGGUUGUGGG